AGUCACUGACAUUAGAUACCCCGGUAGUCCAGGGUGUAAACGCUGCAGACUUGGCGUUGGGACCCUUCGGGGGUGUUCAGUGCCGGAGAGAAGUUGUUAAGUCUGCUACUUGGGGAGUACGUCCGCAAGGAUGAAACUUAAAGGAAUUGGCGGGGGAGCACCACAACGGGUGGAGCCUGCGGUUUAAUUGGACUCAACGCCGGAAAUCUCACCGGAUAGGACAGACAAAUGAUAGUCGGGCUGAAGACUCUACUUGAUGAUCUG
This 264-nucleotide ribosomal RNA is filed under the name uncultured archaeon. Its description in RNAcentral is "partial 16S ribosomal RNA". It matches the Rfam family "Archaeal small subunit ribosomal RNA", at positions 718 to 982 of the family's 1478-position model. The record is from RNAcentral.